This 1006-nucleotide long non-coding RNA is filed under the name Sus scrofa (pig). RNAcentral describes it as "lncRNA (ENSSSCG00050004631.1)". Lineage: Eukaryota; Metazoa; Chordata; Mammalia; Artiodactyla; Suidae. The record is from RNAcentral.
AGAAUCUGUUCUUUUUGUUACAGAACAGAUGUCUGGGAGGUUUUUGGCAGGCCCCACUCUGUCAAACAGUCCAGUUUUGACAGUUACUUGCUUGAGGGAUGGCUGAAAUGCAAAGUAUUUCUGAUCAGAAUAUCAUAUUCAUCUGGAUGUUAAUUACUGAGUCUGCCUUGGUAUAAAUAAUUAAUUAUGCAAAACCCACACAGCUGCUGCUGGACAGAAUUAAGUGACUUGCUGACAGUUUCACAAUUUUGGCAAGGAAAAGGGGGGUUAGAAAAACAUGCUCUGUCACGGAGGGUGGGGCUCGUCACGGUCCUUGUGUGAUCUGAAGAAAGUCACUCUAACUAAGCAGGGUGUGUGGGUGUGUUUCACAUCAAUGAAUGGUAUCUCCUGAUUUGUAUGAGUUGGUCCUAAAAGCAGUUCCUUUUUCGAGCUGUGCAGUGUCUUCCUAGGAGUCUAGACCCACACCAGAAGUUCAAUGUCAUCGCAUCUGUAAAGCUCAACUCUGGCUCCUGGGGCGCGACAUUCAGGUCACGCUGAGGUUUGGACCGAGACGAUGUUGGCACCAGGCUGGCAAUAUUGGGGCGCUGAUGACCUGUCCUGUAGUUAUCAUCUCAGAGUGCAACCAGAACCGGAGGCCACAAUCAGACAACCUAGUGAGUUUCCAGGAAGCUGGUUGAAGAAGAGAUAUCAAGAGCAUGAGAAUUAACUGCUGAAAGCAGACAGGGAAGCUUUUGGAUCGAACUUGGGUUUAUUUAAGUUUUUCAUUUUAACACCAUAUUUAAAAAAAUCAAUUCAACUUAUCAAUUAAAAGAACACAAGAGUGAAAAAUCAAAAGGACUGAAAAUAAGACUGUGACACGAAGAAAAUGGACUCUGGUUUAUGAGCAAUCUGAGAAGCUCUCCUUCCCUAUAAUUUUCUGACCAUAUAGUUUCAAGAAAUUUGUUCCAGUGGAUGUGAUAUAGAUGAUUUGAAUAAAAUAAAAAUAGCUCUGCUGACUUUGGGCUUC